Molecule: ribosomal RNA, 511 nt
Filed under: uncultured bacterium
Lineage: Bacteria
Description: bacterial SSU rRNA
Rfam family: Bacterial small subunit ribosomal RNA
Source: RNAcentral
CUGGCUCAGAACGAACGCUGGCGGCGCGUCCUAAGCAUGCAAGUCGAACGGCAAGAGGUAGCAAUACCUCCUAGAGUGGCGGACUGGUGAGUAACACGUGGGUGACAUACCCUUCAGAUGGGGAUAGCUAUUAGAAAUAGUAGAUAAUACCGAAUACGAGCACAGGGGUUAGAGAUCUGUGAGGAAAGGAGCUAAGGCUCCGCUGAAGGAAUGGCCUGCGGCCCAUUAGCUAGUUGGUGAGGUAAGAGCCCACCAAGGCGAUGAUGGGUAUCCGGCCUUAGAGGGUGAACGGACACAUUGGGACUGAGAUACGGCCCAGACUCCUACGGGAGGCAGCAGCUAAGAAUAUUCCGCAAUGGACGAAAGUCUGACGGAGCGACGCCGCGUGGAUGAAGAAGGCCGGAAGGUUGUAAAAUCCUUUUGAAACUGAAGAAUAAGCGUUGUAGGGAAUGACAGCGUGGUGACAGUUAGGUUUUGAAUAAGCAACGGCUAAUUACGUGCCAGCCGCCGC